AUGGUGACUGGUCCAGAGCCCGUGGGAGGCCCUUCAGUCUUCAUCUUCCCCCUGAAACCCAAGGACACCCUCAUGAUCUCCCGAACACCCGAGGUCACCUGCGUGCUGGUGGAAGUGAGCCAGGACAACCCCUAUGUCCAGUUCACCUGGUAUGUGGACGGCACGGAGGUGCGCACAGCCAGGACGAAGCCAGGGGAGGUGCAGUUUAAUGGCACCUACCGCGUGGUCAGCGCCCUGCACGUCCAGCACCAGGACUGGCUGAGUGGAAGGGAGUUCAGGUGUAAGGUCAACAGCAGAGCCCUCCUGUUCCCUGUUGAGAGGACUAUCUCCAGGGCCAAAGGGCGGGCCCGGGAGCCACAGGUGUACACCCUGCCCCCACACCCGGACAAGCUGUCCAGGAACAGGGUCAGCAUGACCUGCCUGGUCAAAGACUUCUACCCAUCUGACAUCAAUGUUGAGUGGCAGAGCAAUGGGCUGACGGAGCCGGAGGGCAAGUACAGCACCACCCCAGCCCAGCUGGACAGCAACGGGUCCUACUUCGUGUACAGCAAGUUCUCAGUGGAGAUGAUCAGGUGGCACCAGGGAGACGUAUUCACGUGUGCGGUGAUGCACGAGGCUCUCCACAAUCACUAUAGGCAGAGAUCCACCUCCCAGUCUCCGGAGGUAGUCCUGGACGAGAGCUGUGUCAAGACCCAGGUCGGGGAGCUGGACGGGCUGUGGACCACCAUCUCCAUCUUCAUCACACUCUUCCUGCUCAGCAUGUGCUACAGCGCCACCAUCACCCUCUUCAAGGUGAAGUGGAUCUUCUCCUCGGUGGUGGAGCUGAAGGAGACGAUGGUCCCCGACUACAGGAACACGAUCGGGCAGGGAACCUAG
Non-coding RNA from Diceros bicornis minor, 876 nucleotides. The record is from the annotation of a RefSeq genome assembly. Lineage: Eukaryota; Metazoa; Chordata; Mammalia; Perissodactyla; Rhinocerotidae.